AACGAACGCUGGCGGCAUGCCUAACACAUGCAAGGCGAACGAGACCUUCGGGUCUAGUGGCGCACGGGUGCGUAACGCGUGGGAACCUGCCCUUAGGUUCGGAAUAACUCCCCGAAAGGGGUGCUAAUACCGGAUAAUGUCUUCGGACCAAAGAUUUAUCGCCUUUGGAUGGGCCCGCGUUGGAUUAGCUAGUUGGUAGGGUAAAAGCCUACCAAGGCGACGAUCCAUAGCUGGUCUGAGAGGAUGAUCAGCCACACUGGGACUGAGACACGGCCCAGACUCCUCCGGGCAGCAGCAGUGGGGAAUCUUGGACAAUGGGCGAAAGCCUGAUCCAGCAAUGCCGCGUGAGUGAUGAAGGCCUUCGGGUUGUAAAGCUCUUUUACCCGGGAUGAUAAUGCCAGCACCGGGAGAAUCAGCUCCGGCUAACUCCGUG
Molecule: ribosomal RNA, 433 nt
Filed under: uncultured bacterium
Lineage: Bacteria
Description: partial 16S ribosomal RNA
Rfam family: Bacterial small subunit ribosomal RNA
Source: RNAcentral